Non-coding RNA from Rattus norvegicus (Norway rat), 63 nucleotides. The record is from Rfam. NCBI's taxonomy places the organism in Eukaryota, Metazoa, Chordata, Mammalia, Rodentia, Muridae.
GAGGAUUUAGCUCAGUGGUAGAGUGCUUGCCUAGCAAGCGCAAGGCCCUGGGUUCAGUCCUCA